Non-coding RNA from Amborella trichopoda, 4363 nucleotides. The record is from RefSeq and is a predicted model, not a curated record. NCBI's taxonomy places the organism in Eukaryota, Viridiplantae, Streptophyta, Magnoliopsida, Amborellales, Amborellaceae.
UUCAAAUAAUCAACCCACCAAAACAAAAAGAGAGGGCAUCCUUUCUCAGAGAUUUGAAAUUAACCCACCAACGCAAAGCAAACAUACCCUGCCCCUGCUAGCUUUCUCCCCAUGCCAGCUUCAUGUUCUACUUCACUAACCCAACAAAAUCCCUUCUCAGAAACACUCACCUUCUCCCAUUGCAAAACCACGAUCCUCUUUGCACCCAUUCUCUCUCGUCCCUCCAUGAAAACGCUCUAUCUCUCUGUUCUCUCCCCUUCCAUGAAAACCCAAAAAAAUCCAGCACCCCAACUUCUUUACUCAAACAAGCAACCCAAUCUCGUGAAAUGUUCGAUCCAAUUACUCAUAUGGACACCGUAUCUGCAAAUCACCUACUAUCAUCAUAUAAUAGACAAGGUCUCCAUAAACAGUCGCUCAGACUCUUCUCUCUUCGAAAGAGUUCAUCGCAACCUGUCGAUCAUGUCACACUGGCCCUUGCUCUCAAGGCAUGUUGCUCAAUUGGGCCUUUUGGGCUCAACAUUGGCCGACUAAUCCAAUCCCACGCCAUUGUUAUUGGUUUCCAAUCCCAUGUAACAGUCUGCAACUCCUUAUUGAACCUCUAUUUUAAGAGGGCACAACCCCAAGAAGCCAUUAAGAUGUUCAGGGCCAUGCCCCAGAAAGAUUUGAUCACUUAUAACACAGCCAUUGCCGGCUUUGCUCAGAACCAGAUGGAGCGAGAGGCCAUACAGGUUUUACUCCAAAUGCAAGCCUCUGAAAUGCCCAGUUUUGAUAGAGUGAGUUUUGCGAGCUCUCUUAAUGCUUGUGCGAGCCUAUCAGAGCUAAGUCUUGGGCACCAGAUCCAUGCUCUCUCAGUAAUUCAUGGCCAUGGCCAAGAAAUCUUUGUCCAAAAUGCUUUGGUUUCCAUGUAUGCUAGGUGUAACUCAAUAAGAGAAGCCAAGGAAGUGUUUAAUGGGAUUGUCUUCAAGGACCUGGUCUCUUGGAACUCCAUGAUCUCUGGUUACAACACACAGGGGGAAGAUAAUUAUGGGAAUGAAGCCAUUGAGCUUUUUGCAAACAUGGUUCAUGGCCAUGGUCCAAAGCCUGACCACAUAACAUUUGUAAGUGUUCUCUCAGCUUGUGUGGGCAAACAGAAGGUCGAACUCGGGAGGCAAUGCCAUUGCCAAAUUCUUCGAACCAACAAAGAGAAGCACGUAUCUGUAUGCAAUAAGUUGAUCUCACUAUACUCCAAGAGUGAAGCGACUCUAGGCUACGUAGAGAGGGUUUUUGAUUUCAUGGUCCACCGAAACAUAGUCUCAUGGACAUCCAUGAUCUCUCUAUACAAACACCGGGCCUUGGGCCUAUUCAAUGAGAUGAGACUACAAGGUGUUAGCCCAAACCAGGUCACAUUUGUGGCCCUCAUCCACUCAAUCUCAGACCAAGGUAUGGAGGAAUUGGGUCCACAGGCCCAUGGACUCACUGUGCGAACUAGGCUCGACCAAGAUAUCAAUGUGGCCAACAGCCUCAUAACCAUGUAUGCCAAAUUCCAGAACAUGGAUUCAUCCCAAAAAGUCUUCGAUGGCAUGAUAGAUGCUCAAGAGAUCGUUUCUUAUAAUGCCAUUAUGGCUGGUUAUGCACAAAAUGAACUAUACACGGAAGCAGUAGAAGUUUAUUUUCUCUUAGCAAGCUAUGAUAAUGUAGUUCAGUUGAGGCCAACUGAAUUCACAUUUGUAAGCGUCAUAAGCUCUUGCGCAGGGUUGUUAUCUUUAGGUCUAGGUCGCAGACUCCAUUGCCAAGUGGCCAAGCUAGGGUUUAGCUCAUGUGUUUUUGUAGGAAGUGCUUUGCUGGACAUGUAUGCCAAGUGUGGCUCGAUUGAGGAUUCAGAAAGAGUCUUCAGUGAGAUGGAUGGGAGGAGCUUGGUUACAUGGACUGGGAUGAUAUCAGGCUAUGCACAACAUGGUGAAUGCCACAAAGCCCUGUCAUUGCUUGAGGAGAUGAGAAUUGCGAGGGUAAGCCCUGACCCGGUAACCUUCUUAGCUGUACUCUCGGCUUGUGGGCGAGUGGGUAUGGUGGAUCAAGGGCUUCAAUGCUUUGAAAGCAUGGCUCUAGAGCAUGGAAUUGAGCCUCACACGAUGCACCACUCAUGCAUGGUUGACAUGUUAGGAAGGGCAGGUAGGCUUAGAGAAGCUGAGGAAGUGGUUAAGAGGAAACCGAGCAUUAGAGGUUGGCAAAGUUUAUUGGGAGCAUGUCGAAAUCAUGGAGAGGUUGAGAUGGGGAAAAGGGCAGCCGAGACAUUGAUGGCCAUGGAGCCUGAGGAUUCUGCAACUUAUGUGUUGUUAUCAAACAUGUAUGCGGCUGAAGGAAAUUGGGAGGAGGUAGCUAAGGUUAGGAGGAGGAUGAGAGAUGGCAGAGUGAGGAAAGAGGUUGCUUGUAGUUGGGUUGAUGCAGGGGAGAAGAUGCAUGGCUUCACUACUAAUGAUAUGUCACAUCCUGAAGCUAGAGAGAUAUGCAAUGUAGUAGUGGCCUUGGGUCAAGAAAUGAGGCAUUUAGAGGAUGAAUGUGAGUCUUUUUCUCUGUCUUCAUAAGUUGGUUCUAAGUUUGGAGGAUCCAUUUCUUGUAUUUUUUGGGUGAACUGGGAUUUCAAGCUUGGAUGUCGGUGUUGUAGCCAUUGAGAUAUCCCUUGUCCUACUUUCUUGCCUGGUAAUGUGAUUUAAACCCAUGUCCAUGGACUCCAAUCCAAUGAACAGGAAGGUACAUUCAACUUUACUGUGAUAGACUGCUGUCCUAGGAGCAUUCAUGUUUGAACAUCUCUAUCAUAUGAGAAAAACAGAUCUGUCUCGUUCUACAAACUAGUGGGGUUCGACAUGGGACAGCGAUGGAUUUGAGUAUUUGUGUUAGAACAUCUCUAUCAUAUGAGAAAAACAGGUUUUUCCAUUUCACAAACAAGCAGGGUUCGGUGUGGGAUAGGGGAAAAUGUGUCACUGAAGAGUUCCAGGACAAGCCUAUUAAAAGAAUAGGAUUCCUGUUUAGUUGGGUAUGGUGGGGUUCAAACUUUGGACCUUAGUGUUAGGCCAAAGGAGAUACGAAUGGCAUGGUCCUUGAUUUGAGAGCGAUGAGGCAUCUGCAGAGUGUGAGGACGGAUAAGGGGAGAGAGAAAGAUGAGUUGUUUUCAGCGUGUGAGGAUAGCUAAGGGGAGAGAGCCUGGGUGUUCAAGCUUAUAUUUGAAGCUCAGAGAAAUCAUUUAUUUAAAGGUUAAGUUGGUAUUAGAACCUUACAAACUCGUGCUGUUGUGGCCACUGUAACAAUCACUUUUAAUUAUUCAUUUCACUUGCUGUGUUCCACCGGUUGGCAACUCAAGCUCAUUUCACUUCCUACAUUCCAUAAUGUUCAAGAAACAUUUUUUUGAAUUUUGAGUCUAGUAAAUGACCCUCUUAACAAUACCCAAUUUGAAAUUUCAUAGACAAAGUAGUUAUGACCUCUUGUACCAAAACUAUAUGGUCUCUUUAGACAAAGUAGUUGCGAUGAACUCUUUCGAAGAGAGAAGAGUCUGGGUUAUUGUUCAUGGAGACCCUGUCUAUUAUAUAAUAGUAGGUGAUUUGCAGAUAUGGUGUCCAUAUGAGUAAUUGGAUCAAACAUUUCAAGAGAUUAGAUCUCGAAGACAUCUCACUUUUGUGCUUUGGAUGGGACAUUCGGAUGAAAAGUUAUGGCUUCAGAAAGCACUCUGUAUCAUACAUCCUAGGUUCAAACCUUGGUGCUGACUUAUCCCAAAAAAAGGUUGUUUUUUGACAUAGGAGGGACAUCAGAAACUUCCUUUCCAAAAUUUUCUAACAACUUCUUAGAUGGACUGGCUGAAAUUAGUAGAAAGUGUAUACUUGUUAAAUAAGUUAUCGCUCUCUGUUUUUUUUUUUGGAUAAAACAGUCUAGAUAGUAAAACUUUUCUUUGACUUCAUGGUGCAUAUAUUUUACGGAUACAUUGUAUUGUGUGGGUGGGGUACUGUUAUGAGUUCGUUGCUUUGCUAACCUUGUGGUUGCCUUUUUGUCUUUUUGCAUAUUUAAUUUGUGGUUGCAUUUGUAAUGAAAACAAGUGUACAUUAUCUGCAGAACUGUAGGUCUUUCUUGGAAAAACCUAAUGGGUGUUGUAUUGCAGUCUGCUGAAUGGUGAAACAGAGGCCUCUCUUAUUUGCUUGUGUGGUGCUUGUAUUGAUUGUAAUAUACACUUUUCCAUGUGAUAUAACUCAUCUUUCUUAACAAAUUGCAAUUCUUUCAGGUGUCUGAUAGUUUACUUCAUAAUGCCAGCAGCAACCUAGAAAGUAUUAUUUUCUGUGCUCAGACACUGAAAACUAAGCGUGCACAGAGAUUUCGAGGAACUUCCUUCUGAAGCUUUUCG